This 429-nucleotide ribosomal RNA is filed under the name Chloroflexota bacterium. RNAcentral describes it as "Chloroflexi bacterium partial 16S ribosomal RNA". It matches the Rfam family "Bacterial small subunit ribosomal RNA", at positions 355 to 776 of the family's 1533-position model. The record is from RNAcentral. Lineage: Bacteria; Bacillati; Chloroflexota.
UGGGGAAUAUUGCACAAUGGGCGCAAGCCUGAUGCAGCCAUGCCGCGUGUAUGAAGAAGGCCUUCGGGUUGUAAAGUACUUUCAGUCGGGAGGAAGGUGGUAAGGUUAAUAACCUUAUCAAUUGACGUUACCGACAGAAGAAGCACCGGCUAACUCCGUGCCAGCAGCCGCGGUAAUACGGAGGGUGCAAGCGUUAAUCGGAAUUACUGGGCGUAAAGCGCACGCAGGCGGUUGAUUGAGUCAGAUGUGAAAUCCCCGGGCUUAACCCGGGAAUUGCAUCUGAUACUGGUCAGCUAGAGUCUUGUAGAGGGGGGUAGAAUUACAUGUGUAGCGGUGACAUGCGUAGAGAUGUGGAGGAAUACCGGUGGCGAAGGCGGCCCCCUGGACAAAGACUGACGCUCAGGUGCGAAAGCGUGGGGAGCAAACAGG